This 1202-nucleotide long non-coding RNA is filed under the name Mytilus galloprovincialis (Mediterranean mussel). Lineage: Eukaryota; Metazoa; Mollusca; Bivalvia; Mytilida; Mytilidae. The record is from RNAcentral.
AAUACAGAGAUGAAAUGGUGACACUUUAAAUUAAGGCGGAAAAGAAUUUUCAUUCAUGUUUGUCCUAUAUGGCUUUCAUCAUAUUGAUAUGAAUUAUACAAAUUACAAUUCAUCUUGACAUAAAGAUAUUGAUGAUGUGCUUCGCGGCUAUAUAGAUUUAAAAUAUAAAGUGCAAACAUGCUCACUUUUGGUUGAUGCGGUCAAACAUUCUUGUUAUAGGAGUCAGCCUGAGGUAUCGAAAUUACUGACAUUUUGUUGCGAGACAAUACCUUUGUAUGUUGAACAAAAAGGGGACAUGCUGGAAAUCUGAAUGCGAACAAGUCUUUGUAGUUAUUGACCUCCAAUAUUGCUGUCAUUUGUAUUAUACGUUAAUUCUGACAUAAAAAUAUUGCUGAUUUGCUAAGCGGCUAUAUAGAUAUGCAAAAUGAAGUGCAAAUAUGGUCAGUUAAGGUUGAUGCAGUCAAAUAAUAAAAAUGUACAAGUCAGUCUGAGGUAUCAAAACUAAUAAAAUUUUGUUACAAUAUUUCGAAAAAAAGGAGGACAUGCCAGGAUCCUAUAUUUAUGCAUACACAAUUUUGUAGUUUGUGUUCCAAUACUGCUGUCAUUUGUGUUAUACAUUAAUCCUGAUAUGAAAAUAUUGCUGAUUUGCUAUGAGGCUAUAUAGAUUUAUAAAAAUGGAGUGUAAAUACGGUCACUUUUGGUUGUUGCGGUCAAGUAUUCUUUUUAUAGGAGUCAGCCUGAAAUAUCAAAAGUGUUGAAAUUUCGUUACGUAUCAAUAUCUUUUAUUAGAGGAAAAGGUUUCUGGAAGUUGAACAACUUUUUACUUUAUGAUCUAGAAUAUAUAAAUACAGUUAAACAAAAGAUUAGUGAAAUCAAAGCACAAUAUUGUACACUUGUUUAUAUUUUGACAAUUUUUAUGAGAUUGAUAAUGUAGAUAUUCAAUUGAGAAUUAAACACCAACUUUUUCUUGAAACUUUAUUGAUAGAAAUCAUAGGGAACAGUACUUCCAGUUACAGUUACAAAAAAAAAGGAAUCUGAAAAAAGGGAAACAACUUUACGAAAUGAAAUUAUACAGUUAUAGGAUAAUCGCUGGGAUAAAGCUGAUGACCGUAACUGCAUUCACGGUCAUCCCAAGAUGUCAGAUAAAAAAUUAGGUCAGUUUCUGUAUUGUCUGUUAAAGUGUUUCUAUAUCAUUUUUUUUA